Molecule: long non-coding RNA, 1040 nt
Organism: Oncorhynchus gorbuscha (pink salmon)
Lineage: Eukaryota; Metazoa; Chordata; Actinopteri; Salmoniformes; Salmonidae
Exons: 3
Source: RefSeq, a predicted model, not a curated record
CUUUCGGCUCCCUCUCCGAACACCUCUCCUCUGCUGGGAGGAGAUGAAGCAUCUCAAGGGCCUGGCCCCGUCCUGCAAGGACAAACUGGGCUGCUGGGUUCACAAGAAUAGGCUAGUAUUCUUCGGUGGCUACGGAUACAUGGCACAAGGAGCUCACAGAGGGACAUUUGAAUACGAUUAAACUUCAUUCAUGGGAGAUAAUCCGGGGUGGGGCUGGAACAACCACAUUCACAUCCUGGACCUGUUCAUCUGGAGCCAGCCAGUCACCAAGGUAACAGCAUUCCCUUAAAUCAUGUCACAACUUUCUGUGUUGGAAGCCAUUUUGCACAUCUGUUUCAAUGGGAGCUCCAGUCUCACCUCUCUAUUCCCCUUUUCUAUUGAAGGGUAAUGCCCCAUCUCCCCGGGCAGCACAUGCCUGUGCCAAGGUGGGCAACCGAGGCUAUGUAUUUGGGGGGCGUUACAGGGAAAGUAGGAAUGUUCUGAAAAGAGAUUACUCAAGUUCCUGCUGAGUUUACGGUCACACUGUCUAAUGUGAAAUUGUAUCACGGGCCUGUAGAUAGAUGUUGACCAUGUUCAUUUCUAUGACCUAUCACAUAAAGGAUCUUGUAUUCUAAAUGUUUGAUGCUUUGUCUCUUUUACAACAGGAUUACCGCCUGAACGACUUGCACUACAUCGACAUGGGGAGUGGCAUGAAAUGUAGUCCUCAUCCAAAAUGUCUUCAUGCAUGUUAUAGCAUUAAACACCUUUUUUUAGGGGAGGGGGCUGUGCUCUAACCCAUAGAUGUUCCUCUGUUCACCUUUAUGGGACUAACCCUUUACCCCGGUCCUAUUUCCCCUUGACCUUCCCUUGCCCCUCUACAGGAGUGUUCCUCAGCAGGGUCCUGUGGGACGCUUAUGGCACUCCCUCACCCCCGUGUCACCUGAUCACAUUUUCCUGUUCGGAGGCUUCACAACAUAUAGAGACACUGAGUGAGUGAAGAGUACUUCCUUAUCCAUUUUCCUUGAGUCCAUGGCAUGACCAAAUGUUUUUAUUUCUCCAUC